RNAcentral lists this ribosomal RNA (303 nucleotides) under uncultured bacterium. Its description in RNAcentral is "partial 16S ribosomal RNA". It matches the Rfam family "Bacterial small subunit ribosomal RNA", at positions 507 to 809 of the family's 1533-position model. The record is from RNAcentral.
AGCAGCAGCCACGGUAAUACGGAGGGUGCAAGCGUUAUCCGGAUUUAUUGGGUUUAAAGGGUCCGUAGGCGGAUCUGUAAGUCAGUGGUGAAAUCUUACAGCUUAACUGUGAAACUGCCAUUGAUACUGCAGGUCUUGAGUAAAUUUGAAGUGGCUGGAAUAAGUAGUGUAGCGGUGAAAUGCAUAGAUAUUACUUAGAACACCAAUUGCGAAGGCAGGUCACUAAGAUUUAACUGACGCUGAUGGACGAAAGCGUGGGGAGCGAACAGGAUUAGAUACCCCGGUAGUCCCUGUCUCUUAUAU